RNAcentral lists this ribosomal RNA (433 nucleotides) under uncultured bacterium. Its description in RNAcentral is "partial 16S ribosomal RNA". It matches the Rfam family "Bacterial small subunit ribosomal RNA", at positions 29 to 507 of the family's 1533-position model. The record is from RNAcentral.
AGCGAACGCUGGCGGCAGGCCUAACACAUGCAAGUCGAACGAACUCUUCGGAGUUAGUGGCGGACGGGUGAGUAACACGUGGGAACGUGCCUUUAGGUUCGGAAUAACUCAGGGAAACUUGUGCUAAUACCGAAUGUGCCCUUCGGGGGAAAGAUUUAUCGCCUUUAGAGCGGCCCGCGUCUGAUUAGCUAGUUGGUGAGGUAAAGGCUCACCAAGGCGACGAUCAGUAGCUGGUCUGAGAGGAUGAUCAGCCACAUUGGGACUGAGACACGGCCCAAACUCCUACGGGAGGCAGCAGUGGGGAAUCUUGCGCAAUAGGCGAAAGCCUGACGCAGCCAUGCCGCGUGAAUGAUGAAGGUCUUAGGAUUGUAAAAUUCUUUCACCGGGGACGAUAAUGACGGUACCCGGAGAAGAAGCCCCGGCUAACUUCGUG